This 9331-nucleotide long non-coding RNA is filed under the name Oryza sativa (Asian cultivated rice). RNAcentral's name for it is "long non-coding RNA (OSAT_LNC001442)". Lineage: Eukaryota; Viridiplantae; Streptophyta; Magnoliopsida; Poales; Poaceae. The record is from RNAcentral.
ACAUGUGUACCAUAGCCUGGAGUCUGAUGUAUAGUUGCAGUAGGAGACCAUCUGCUUGGCGGCUUGGGCGAGGCAGGCGUCGCAGUCGCCGCCGGAGACGUCGCCGCGGCACUGCGCGAGGCCGUAGAAGGCGUCGUACCCCCUGCCGGCCUUGGAGGUGGCGAAUCCGCCGCCGGUGCGCGCCUUGGCGACAAGGUCGGAGACGACGAAGUUGAUGCUCCGCCGCCUGACGACGGCAUCGCUGCCGUUGAGAUCGCCGUAGUUCAUCCCCGGCUCCCAGCAGAAGCUGCCGAUGGGAUACGUCGUCGUCGUCGCCGCCAUGGCCAGUGGGAGCAAUGCAGCGGCCAAGAAGACUGUAAGUAGCAGCUGGCUUAAUGCCGCCAUGGAUGGCGCCAAUUGCUCUCAAUUCAGCCUCUUGUUGCUACUGGAGUAGCAGUAGUAGUAGCUAGAGAUUUCAGUAGAGGAGGAUGGCUUUAGCUUGUGUUUGAUUGGGAUCGAAUGGUUGGAGUUUAUAUAGAGGGAGGAUUGGAUGGGGAAGGAGGGAUUGAUCGAUUGAUCAAUGUGCUUGCAGAGUUGCAGUAUGUUAACUGCAGGCGAACAGGUUUCAAAAUCCUUGUUCUAAUUGUUUGCAAACUUGUUUUUGACUACUACUGUUCUAAAGGUUUGCAUGCAGACAUGCAGUGAUUAGAACUGUGGGCGCGAAGCUAUAUUAUUGCACGUACGGAUGACACUCUUGCAGAUAUCGCGGACUAGCUAAGCUAGCUGGCUGAGCUGGCUGCUGGCUGCCUGCUUGCUUGCUAGUACCAUUUCUUGUGGGCUGGCUGUCACUAGUUUUGACUUUUGAGGGAUGAGGUGAUGGAUUGGAUAAACCUAUCAUGUCUCUUCACUCUUCUUCAACCAAACAAACCAUGCAUAUAUUUAGGAUUAAGUGGUCAAUUUACUUAUAUUACAUUGCUCAAUCAAUCCAAAACUAAACAGCCCAUAUAUAUUGAGAAACACAACAUAAAUGUAAGCACUCACAAUUAGUUCGCACGCUCACCCUUAUAAAGAUACACACGCACAUGCUCUAAAAAACUAGCUAUUGUUGUCGACGGGUUAAUCGUCUAUACUGAAAGAAUAAUUAGCUGUAAGUGCGAGCACCCACGUCAAAUCGAGAAUUUGAAUCCAGAUAGCUUAGUUCCAGCAUAAGAAAUCUAACCAGUUGAGUUAUACUCUCACUUCACUGAAGAGCCCAUAUAUAUAUAUAUAUAUUAGUGAUGAGUGAAGAUGAAAAAGCUGAAAAACUAUUCGGUUGCAGCGUUGCAGGACACUGUAUAGUUUGAUUGAGUUUGUUUUCGCUGAAUCUGGUUGGAUGAAAAGCAAAUACACUAUCCAAUGAUUUUGCCAAUUUGCAAAUACUAGUUGAUUCUUAGGCAAAAUCCACUGUAUAUAGUCUCCUGUUUCUGCAGCCAAACAGCCCAAAACCCAGUAGCCCACCGAUCGAGAAUCUAAUUGCCCCCGCAAAAAAAAAAAGAGAAUCUAAUUGCGAACACGUGCAUCGAUCCAAUUCCAAACCUCGUGCGAAUUUGGCGCCAUACCGUUUUUGUCUAACGCUAAUGAUGAUUUAUCUCCUAAAUGAUAUACAUGCAUCCGUACACUCAGCUUGCACGAAUCCUGCGCUUGCAUAUUGGGCCUAUUUCAAUUGCCAAUUUAGGCCCAGUAAACAGAAAGUGCAUAGAAUAUUUCUUUUUCCUUUCUAACUUGUUUUUUCAAUUCAAUGUAAAACAUCUAUAAAAUGUAUUAUAAUAGAAGUUUUUUUUCUUAAAGUCCUUUGCAAAGUUUGUAAGUAGAAAGUUUCUUUAUUAUUCAUAAAUUAUCUAGGUGGGAAGUUUACUGCUUACACAAAGUUUUUGAGUGAAACAUUUACUAUCUAUAUACAUAAUGUAUUCUGAUCAAGUAGAAAGUCUGCUAUUUCUGUGGAAAUUUCCCUGGUGUUUAGAUGAUUAUAUACCAAAUAUUCCUUUUGAAAACGAAUGCAUAAUUAAGCGUGAUGGGUUCAAUCGCGUGAAAUGCUAGUUGUUCAAGGGAGUGGAUUCUAACUCUCGACGAGACAUCCCCUCGUUGUUUACAUGUCAUCCAAAUAAUUAUGAAAAAAAUAAAACAAGAUAGAUUAAUAUGUGAUAAAUCACUCCACAAACAUAGUUAAAAUUUAACUUUUACAAGUUGCAACGAAAAAACAAAUUAAACUAUUGCUAACUUGUACUCAAAUUUGUUUUUUUUUUCAUUGCAACUUGUAGAAGUUAAAUUUAACCUCUCGCUGCAGCCACAUGGCAAGGGGCGGCGCUUCACGACUGGAUUGGGCCUUCACGGCCGGAUCUGGUUAUGCAAUGCGGUAGUGGCCGGAUCUAGCCGAGGUCGAGUAGGAGGUGUGUCGCGGCUGGCAGCUGCAGGAUGUCGGCCUCGGGCACUGGCUAACGGCAGCAAGAGGCCGAUCACGGGCGAGGUCGCGGUCGGCACGGCCAACAGCGAUAGGAGGGAGGCCGCGGGCAUGGCGUGGAGCGGUGCGUCUGGCCGGUGGCGGCAGGAGGGCGGCCGCGGGCAUGGCGUGGCGCGGUUGCGAUUGUGGAGGUUAGUGAGGACGACGGUGAGCGCUUACCGCCCGCACCGACAGCUAGGGAUGGGCAUUCGGUCUAACCGAAAAUUUCGGUCUCGGUCUUCGGUCUUUUGGUCUUUGAAAAGUGAAGACUGAAUUUCAGCGAAAAAAUGUCAGGACCGACAAAUUCGGUCUCAGUCUUUUCGGUCUCGGUCUCGGUCCUGACCGAAAUUCAACAACAUUUUCAUAUAUGAAAAGAAAUAAUAGAAAUUUUCAACACAAAAAUCACAAAAAAAAAAUCGUAAGCACUUAUGAGUAAAGACUCUUAUUAGGUUUCAUGCCUAGAAGAAGUAGGGAUGUGAAAAUUAGAGUUUAAUCCUAUUAAACAUAGUGGAUUGUAGGUUGUAUUUAGAUAUUUUUUUUGAUAAUUCAGUCUAUUCGGUUACCCGAGGAGACUAACCGAAUUAACUGAACAAAAUUCGGUCUUUCACUGCCUAGGACCGAAUUGAUGACCGAAUUUCUUGGUCUCGAUCUCGGUCUUUUCGGUUCGGUCUUUUUCUGCCCACCCCUACCGACAGCGGGGGCUAGUAGCAAUGCCGUGGCAAAUAUGUGAGCUUCCGGAGUCAGUUCGUUCUUGCUAGCUAGCCAUUUCCAUCUCCUUCUCCAGGAAACACCUCCCCGGCUAUGGUCGACUCCUUUCGAUUGUGGGGAGCUCUUUUGGUGAGAUGUCGGCAAUGGCGUUUGGAGGACGAUGAUGGUGAUGGGGCUUUUGUCGUGCUGGUCAGCAAUGGGAGCCGCGAGGUUCCCCAUGACCUGCUGGCGAACCGGUGGUAAUGGCGGCUCCAUUUCUUAGGGGACGAUGGUGGCUACAAUUUAGGAUAGAAGGACAACUUGGCACGAUGUGGUUAAAAGUGCUUGCUUGCACACUUGAGAGCGGGCGCAACAUCGGUGGUGGAACUGUCCUCACAGCACAUUGGUGGAGGCCAAGGCGAAAGCAUGGACGCUACGGGCAUCGUCGUUUACUCGUUGGAGGCGUCCUUUUUGUCUCCUCGUCAUGCCGUGUUUGGAUUUUGUGGGUGUAAACCUAGCCCAAGAUGAUGGUGGCGUAUAGCUUGACGUCGUGCCUCCUGAAGGCAUAUUAAUCCUUGGCAAUUUCAUAAUCAUGCUCCACUUUGUUAUGGACGGCCUUUGAGAAGUCGGAGCUGCUGCGUCGAGGUGGUUGAUGAGUUUGGCAACAAUAUAAAUCGGAAGUUGGAGCUGCUGUGCAGGUGCGAAUUUGGCAAUGAUGACCCAAGUAGGACCUCGCCCUUUGAGUUUUCGCUCUAGUGUGGGGUAGCAAUGCAAGCUUGUUGGUCGGCAAGCCUUUCCUGGCCUUAGCGUUUCCUAGCGAAGUUGGAGUCGCCUGUGAUGGUGUGAUGACAAUAACGUUGCGUAUCUGCCUUUGCGAGGAGCCUUGUUUAAUCUUCCAACUUGCUACUUCAUUUUGCAAGGUUUGUGGUGAAUAGCAUUUGUUGAACCUGGCUUUUCUGUUUUUCAUAGCCUUGUAGUUAAGAUUUGCCAUUUUCUGUUUGGUACAAUAGUUGUGGUUUUCACAUAGUUUUUCCUAAUUAACAAUGUAAUAUAAAGUUUGGUCUCGUUUUCUUCUUAAAAUGAGACAAAUACUUCUUUAUAUAAAUGUCGGCAAUGGCAUGACCUUUUUUUCUAAAAAAAAAACUAUUUGUUCACACGCGCGUACAUCAUACCUCAGUACACAUCUUUAUUUAUUCCAAACUAGCAGCAUACUAAUUAAGAAUCAAUACAGCUUAUAAAUAUAUAGCCUACAACACAUGAUUUAUUAUUGAAAUAAAACAUCAUUAGAAAUACUUGUUCCGGGACAGAUCUCAGGUACGCAUAACAUAACUAUACUGCUAUGCGUUACAACGUGUGUAUGCUUGCAUGUAUGCAAUAUCGUAUUGUACUAUACACGCAGCCUAUAUAUAUGCGAGAUUUAUUCAAUGCAUCGUGACCUUGGUGUACUUUGUCAAGUCGGUGGGGGCCUGCCUGUUGGCCUCGAGUGGAAAAUAGAACGGGUAGAUCUCGUAGCGCACCCAACAGCUACUAUAGUCAAUCUGGCACCCCUGCCCACUGCCGCAGGCCUCGGCAAACUUGGAAACCGUCGUUGACAGGCAUUGUGCGCACAGUGGUGGUGCCAGAUCCCGCGUGCAUUGUGCCAACGCAUAGACGUUCACGAAUGAUGUGCACUGCUCCUUCGCUCUGCCCAGCCCACCGCUACCCAUCGUGACAGCAUGCGCUACCGCUUUCCCCGUCGCCUUUCCUACUGCCUUCUGGAACGCCAUGGGGUUGUCCAUAUCCGGCCAUUGCCUCAGGGUCACACUUGCGUCUGUCCUCGUGUCCAUCUCCCCAAAGAAGUUGAAGUCAACGUACCGCAUGAAGCAGUACUCAUACCUGCAAGUACAUAUGUACAUUGCCCGCACAAGCACAUAAACAAAAGAACGUUAAACAACCAGCAUGUAAAAUCUAUAAUUUUUGCCACUCAAGUUUGCUCUCCGGUUCCUUCAAUUUUGAUGUUUUGGAUAAUAACACGGUCUAAAAAACAUAUCUUUCAACUAUAAUUUAUUUUAUUAUAAUAUACCCAAAAUAUAAGUAAACUUUUAAUUUUAUUUAAGCACUUCUUAAAAACCGAUCUAUACAUUAUGUUCUAGUGUUCUCAAACUAAAUAUUUUAAAGAUCACUAAUAGUUAAAGUUUAAAUUGUUUGACCUUAAUUUUAUCCAAAACGUUGAAAAUUAUAGAACCGAAGAGACUAUAUGACAUGUAGAAUUAUGACACACGCAUACCAUAUUCUGGAGUCUAAUGUAUAGUUGCAGUUGGUGACCAUCUGUUUGGCGGCUUGGGCGAGGCAGGCGUCGCAGUCGCCGCCGGAGACGUCGCCGCGGCACUGCGCGAGGCCGUAGAAGGCGUCGAUGCCCCUGCCGGCGGAGGAGGUGGCGAAUCCGCCGCCGGCGCGCGCCUUGGCGGCGAGGUCGGAGACGACGGAGUUGAUGCUGCGCCGCCUGGCGAUGGCCUCGCCGCUGCUCAUCUCGUUGUAGCUCGGAUUCCAGCAGAAGGUGCCAAUGGGAGACAUCGAUAUCGUAGUAGCCAUGGCCAUUGGGAGCAACAUUGCAGCCAACGAGAGAGCAACUAGUACCAGGCAGCAAUGGUGCGAUCUUCUGCUUGGUGACGCCAUGGAUGCUAGCUCCAAUUACUUCUCACACUCUCACUUCACCUUCUUGCCAGCUACUGGAGUAGUAGCUAGAGAUGUGAGCAGAUGUGUGUGGCUGGCUUGGGUUCAAUCGGGAGCAGUGGUUGGAGCUUAUAAAUUAAGACGAUCGAUCAAGCGCGCGCACUGGAUUGGAUGGGAAAUUAAUUAAGAGAGAUCGAUAUCAUGUGCUUGCGAUGCAGGGAAUAGUACAGGACAUAGUAUCAUAAUCCUUAUUGCAGACUUGUUUUGACUAUUCUAAUGGUUUCUAAUGUCGAGUCAGCCAUGAGCCAUGCUCGUCCAUGCACUGGCAGCGUGUGGGCACGAAUGUUACUCUUGCAGACUUGCGUCGCGGAUAUCGUGGACUAGCUCGCUGCCGACCUGCUUUUCAGGGACUACUUUUGCCACAGGGUUUUGAAUAGAAAUUUCGGAUAUUUCUAACGAUUAUUUUUUAAAAAAAUUAAUACAUUUUUACUGAAUUUGAAUAAAUUAUGAUCAAAUUCUCACAAUAUUUGAAAAAAAUUGAAUAUUUGCCGGACCGCGGGGGGGGGGGGGGGGGGGUGGGGGGCGAAAAUUUCUAAAAUUUUGAACCGAAAUUUUCAUCCAUGUUCAGAUGUACCCGGAGGCCAGAGACAAAUCCAUUCACGGUCCAUAGGACCAACACCAGUUGAUGCCUGCUCCAUCUAGAAUAGGAAUAUUUUGACUAAGCUUAUGCAUAUCACCUCACUUAUGCUGUCCCCCUUGCCCUCGGCUCACCCUAGCCCCGGGUACAUACUAUUGAGGGAUGAGGUUAAUUAGGGGUAGUAAGAAAGCUCAAAGUUAGUGGAACGAGCUUAGUUCCGAUCGGCUUGAACUCAAACUCUAAUGAUUUAUGAUUCAAACCAUGCUAUAUUUUUAGGCUCAUGAGUUAAUCAGUCAGUUCACGAUCGUCUUGUUUAACUCGUUAGUAGAAGAGAUCGUCAUAUUUUUAUAUACUUAGUGCAUCUUUACGAGUGUUUAAACUUCUAGUUAUAUCCAAACUAUUUGUACAUUUGUAUGUAUAGUAAGUUAUUCAUAAGUUAGUUUUAAUUAUUAUGUUAACAUAUAAUAUAAUAAAAUAGUAAAUUUAAAAUUACAAAGCUAAGCUAGACUUAACAAAGUUAACGAGUCAACUCACGAGCAAAGCUAAGCUACGAUUUCAGCUCAUUAUGCUCAAUGAGCCGAGUCAAGAUGGCUCGUCGAGAUAAGAAGAUCAAAUGAACCAAGUCUUAGCGAGCCAAGCUGACUUGUUAUCCACCAUAUAGAUGAGGUGAUGGGUGGAUGAAGCCUAUCCUUAUUAAAUCAGACUAACCAUCUAGAAUUAAGUGCUCAAUUGCCUAUUACAGUACUCAAUCUAUCCAAACAAAACAACCUAUUAGUGAAUAAAGUUGAAAAGCUAAAAAUCUAUUCGGUUUGCACAGGAGUACCGUAUAACCUUCUUGCCUUCGAGAUCCGAUUGGAAUUGAGUUUUAUUGAAGUUGUUUUCGGUGAAUUUGGUUGGAUGAAAGGCAAAUGCACUAUCCAAAAUUUUGCCAGUUAGUCAUUUUAGUGGUACUCCUAAGGCAAAACAUAGAAGGAAGGUACAAUUAAUCUCAUGUUUCCGCAACCAAGUGCCCAAAACCCGGUAGCCCAUGAGAAUCGUAUUGUGCAAACGUGCAACCAAGUACCCAAUGCCCCGUGCAAGCAUUGGGCUUGUUUGGGGGAGCUUCUAGCUGCUGCAGCUUCUCCCAAAAUCAGAAGCUCCCUCAAACAAUCAACUUUUGAUCCAGAUUCUGAGAAGAAGAUGUAGUUGUAGAAUCUAGAAGAUAAACUAGAACCCAGAAGUUGGCUACCAAUCAGUUGUUUCUUAAAAUUUUAAGCUCCCCAAAUAGAAUUAUUUUCAUCCACACCUCCACCUCCACCUCCAUAUUCACAUCCACAUCUAUGUCAAACUCAAACAUACACAUUCACAUUACUGUGGCGCUCAUUAAGAAUGGCCGCUAAACUUGCCCAAUUAAUUUAUUGCGAGAAAAUAUGAGAACAUAAGUUUCUGAUAUUGUACAACAUGCCCAAUACACAUCUUUAUUAAUUUAUUCCAAACAAACUGCAGCUAGCAUGAUAAAUAAGGGUGAUACAACUUUAUACAUAUAUAACCUUUUACAUAUGAUUUAUUCGUUGCAUACAUAUUCCUGAAAUUAAACAUAAACAUAAAUACUAUUAUUGGGAUUGAUCUCACAUCUGCAUAUACUGCUACACGGUACGACGUAUAUAUGUAUGUAUGCAUUAUCGCAUUGUACGCAUAGCCUAUGUAUAUGCUAGAUUUAUUUAGUGCAUGGUGACCUUGGUGUACUUGGACAUGUCGAUAGUGGCACGACUGCCUGCCUCGAGUGGGAAGUAGAAGGGGUAGAUCUCGUAGCGCGCCCAACAGCUGCUGUAAUCAAUCUGGCAUCCUUGAGCGCUGUUGCAAGUUUUGUCAAACUUGGACACUAUCUCCGAUAGGCACCGUGCGCACGCUGGCGGCGCUAGGUCUCGCGUGCACUGUGCUAACGCGUAAACACUCACAAACGGCGUGUACUGCUCCUUCGCCCUGCCUAGCCCACUCCUACCCACUGCAACAGCUUGUGCUGUCGCCUUUCCCAUAGCUUUCCCCGCUGCCUUCUGGAAUGCCUUGGGGUUGUCCAUGUUCUGCCAAUUUAUCAUGGUCACGCUUGCAUCCUCCCUCGUAUCCACUUCCCCGAUGAAGUCGUAGUUGUAGUACCGCAUGAAGCAGUAUUCGUACCUGUAAGUACAUAUGCACAUCACCCGCGCGCACAAGCACAUAAAUAAGGAGAAAAUUAAACAAUCGACGUGAAAUCAUGUGUACUCUCUUAUGUUCCAUCAUUCUUAAUGUUUGGGACAAUAAUAUGGUCCUUAAUACGACUUCUACAAUGAUUUUUACAUAUUAUAAUAUAAAAAAAAGUAAAAUUUUAAUUUUUUUAAAAGUAAUUUUAAAGAAUAAUGUAUAUAUCAUGUUCUAAUAUUUGCUUUCAAACUAAAUAUUAUAAAAAUCAUAGAUAGUUAAAGUUUCAAUUAUUAGCUUGUCAAACCGUUGGAACUAGAUCGAGAUACAAUAUACUAGCAUGUAGAAUUAGGAUCCAUAAUAAUAGCAUACCAUAUUCUGGAGUCUGAUGUGUAGUUGCAGUUGGAGACAAUCUGCUUGGCGGCUUGAGCGAGGCAGGCGUCGCAGUCGCCGCCGGAGACGUCGCCGCGGCACUGCGCGAGGCCGUAGAAGGCGUCGUACCCCCUGCCGGCUCUGGAGGUGGCGAAUCCGCCGCCGGUGCGCGCCUUGGCGACGAGGUCGGAGACGACGAAGUUGACGCUGCGCCGCCUGACGACGGCCUCGCUGCUGUUGAGAUCGCCGUAGUUCAUCCCGGACUCCGAGCAGAAGCUGCCGAUGGGAUACGUCGUCGCCGCCAUGCCCAGUGGGAGCAAUGCAGCGGCCAAAAAGGCUGUAACUAGUACCAGCUGGCUUAAUGCCGCCAUGGA